Molecule: ribosomal RNA, 245 nt
Filed under: uncultured bacterium
Lineage: Bacteria
Description: partial 16S ribosomal RNA
Rfam family: Bacterial small subunit ribosomal RNA
Source: RNAcentral
UACGUAGGGUGCAAACAUUAUCCGGAUUUAUUGGGCGUAAAGAGCUCGUAGGCGGGCUGACAAGUUAGGUAUUAAAUACUUUGGCUCAACCAAAGAAAUGUACCUAAAACUAUCUGCCUUGAGAUAUGUAGGGGAGGAUGGAACUUACGGUGUAGCAGUGAAAUGCGUAGAUAUCGUAAGGAACGCCAAUGGUGAAGACAGUCCUCUGGACAUUAUCUGACGCUGAGGAGCGAAAGCGUGGGGAG